GCUACACCAAGUGUUAAAUUUGAGUGUCAAAGCUCUCUUGUACUAAUGGGGGAGCAUACAACACCACAUCCAACGCCACCCUUGGAUCUUCCACACUCAUUCUCUACUCAGAUUAGAAGUCACCACAAUUACAGGUGGACUCUGUCAGACCCCUAGGUGUAUUAGGACAGAAGAGAACUUUGCCUCAUCCCACAGCCCUUGAGCAUACACUGGACUGCUGCUUUGAUUUCUAAUGAAAAGGCUUUCCUUUGAUUUGUAGGAUGAGUUGAUGUCUUGUUUCUCUCUUCAGGUGUAUGUAUUACCUGAACACACAGAGCAGCUGUUUCCAUGCUUGGAUCAGUCAGAGAUUAUGCAGCCACAACUAUGCCUUAGAUGUGUGUAAUUCAAGUGGAGAAAACACACAAGCCCAUGGUGGCGAUACCAACACUUGAGUGUUCUGUAAACGAUUUAUCAGAGGUUGCAGCUGAACACGGCCAUGAGGUAAACCCUGCCCCUGGUUGACAUUUAGUUUCAUCAGCUUCUACUUGGGAUUUUAAGGACUUGGGAUAUAUCACAAAACCCAGCAGGUCCCCCCUCCCCCUUUUAAGAUUUAUUUUUUCUUCCUGAAGAUUCCAUGCUUAAAGUUCUUUAUGGUUAGUAACUGUGAUGCUUGAAGUUGGUUAUCCCUUAUUCUAGUAAAUCUUAAAUGUCAAAGAUAUAGAUAUCUUGUUAAAUAAAGAAAAGAAUCAAAAUC
Long non-coding RNA from Rattus rattus (black rat), 733 nucleotides. RefSeq lists it as uncharacterized. The record is from RefSeq and is a predicted model, not a curated record. Lineage: Eukaryota; Metazoa; Chordata; Mammalia; Rodentia; Muridae. The transcript is spliced from 2 exons.